UACGAGGGGGGCAAAUGUUGUUCGGAAUCACUGGGCGUAAAGGGAGCGUAGGCGGGUGUUUAAGUUAGGUGUUUAAUCCUGGGGCCCAACCCCAGUCGUGCACCUAAAACUGGACAUCUUGAAUAGGGGAGAGGUCAGUGGAAUUGGAGGUGUAGCGGUGGAAUGCGUAGAGAUCUCCAAGAACACCAGUUGCGAAGGCGGCUGACUGGACCCAUAUUGACGCUGAGGCUCGAAAGCUAGGGGAGCAAACGGG
RNAcentral lists this ribosomal RNA (253 nucleotides) under uncultured bacterium. RNAcentral's name for it is "partial 16S ribosomal RNA". It matches the Rfam family "Bacterial small subunit ribosomal RNA", at positions 524 to 776 of the family's 1533-position model. The record is from RNAcentral.